RNAcentral lists this long non-coding RNA (1196 nucleotides) under Malus domestica (apple). Its description in RNAcentral is "long non-coding RNA (MDOM_LNC014795)". The record is from RNAcentral. Lineage: Eukaryota; Viridiplantae; Streptophyta; Magnoliopsida; Rosales; Rosaceae.
AACAAUUAAAAAACAAUUAUUAACCCCUUUAAUCAAAUGGGUUUUGUUUUGUCUUUGUUUCAAUUUUUUUUAACCGAUGAUAGCGUUAGUAGUUAAAUUGUUAAAUAUUAGAGCAAGGGAGAUGAAGAAUGAAUCAGCAUCAGAGUACAUAUACAUUAUUGAUUUUCUUCACUACGGUGUGUUUUUUCUUCUAAUUAAUCCAAUUUUAAUCUCACUUUACUACUUCACUUCGAUGUUCUUUCAGUCUUUUAGCAAUUAUUAACCUUUUUAAUCAAUUGGGUUAUGUUUUUAUAUUUUUUUAGUACAUCGAUAUUUUUACACUGGAGGUGGGAGAAUUCAGCUAAGUUACACAAUGGGCAACCUAAUUUGGUAUUGAAUUUGCCAUCCACGAGAUUCGAACUUAAGACCUUUCACCUCCAAGUGAAAAGGAAUACCACCAGACCGUAGUACUGAGUGGCUUGUUUUGUUUUAGAUUCUUAUCUAAUUACGGUUUUGCAGUCACAUGUCAAGAAAAACAAAUUCACCACCACAGAGAUAAGACUGUACAAAGAGAUGUUUAUGUUUCAAAUUUUUUUUUUUUUGAAAAGAGGGACAACUGCUGGCAAGCUACGGUUUCCAUCCCUUCCAGGCCCAGAGAGGCAAUGGGGAAUUUCACUUUACUCAUGGCCACAAUCAAGCAGACUCAAUAGCUCAAAGCAUUGAUCAUGAGAUCUCCCACAUUUAAGAAAAUGUUGAAUUUAAGAGCAUCUCUAGUGGAGUUCUUAAAUAGGGAUAAUCACCGUAUAAAAUAAGUAUAAAACAAACAUUGGGACAAAAUAAAUCUCCAAUGGAUCGGAAAGUGAGUCCCUAAAGUAUAAGGACUCACAAGAUGCAUAGUGUAUGUCCUCACAUAUAGGGACUGUAUAAGGACAACUUUUGGUGGAAAACGGGGCCCACAAUCUUGAUUAUAGCUUUUAAUGCUUUUAAUUGUUUAAAAAUGGUUAACAUAAAUAAAAAAGGUGCACCUUGAGUGAAAAACGGUACCUACAAUCUUGAUUGAAGAUUUUUCUUUUAAUGCUUUUAAUUAAUUAAAAAAUGUUAACAUAAGCAAAAAAUGUGCACCUAAUCAAAUUAUCACGUAAAACAAUAAAAACUUCAAAUUUAGAGAUUCUACUAUAAGGACUCUACCAUUGGAGGCAAUAUUCCUUUAGGGACAC